Molecule: ribosomal RNA, 973 nt
Filed under: Salmonella enterica subsp. enterica serovar Kentucky
Lineage: Bacteria; Pseudomonadati; Pseudomonadota; Gammaproteobacteria; Enterobacterales; Enterobacteriaceae
Description: partial 23S ribosomal RNA
Rfam family: Bacterial large subunit ribosomal RNA
Source: RNAcentral
GUGCUUUGGGGUGGGGUGACUGCGUACCUUUUGUAUAAUGGGUCAGCGACUUAUAUUCUGUAGCAAGGUUAACCGUAUAGGGGAGCCGAAGGGAAACCGAGUCUUAACUGGGCGUUAAGUUGCAGGGUAUAGACCCGAAACCCGGUGAUCUAGCCAUGGGCAGGUUGAAGGUUGGGUAACACUAACUGGAGGACCGAACCGACUAAUGUUGAAAAAUUAGCGGAUGACUUGUGGCUGGGGGUGAAAGGCCAAUCAAACCGGGAGAUAGCUGGUUCUCCCCGAAAGCUAUUUAGGUAGCGCCUCGUGAACUCAUCUUCGGGGGUAGAGCACUGUUUCGGCUAGGGGGUCAUCCCGACUUACCAACCCGAUGCAAACUGCGAAUACCGAAGAAUGUUAUCACGGGAGACACACGGCGGGUGCUAACGUCCGUCGUGAAGAGGGAAACAACCCAGACCGCCAGCUAAGGUCCCAAAGUCACAGUUAAGUGGGAAACGAUGUGGGAAGGCUCAGACAGCCAGGAUGUUGGCUUAGAAGCAGCCAUCAUUUAAAGAAAGCGUAAUAGCUCACUGGUCGAGUCGGCCUGCGCGGAAGAUGUAACGGGGCUAAACUGUGCACCGAAGCUGCGGCAGCGACGCUUAUGCGUUGUUGGGUAGGGGAGCGUUCUGUAAGCCUGCGAAGGUGUCCUGUGAGGGAUGCUGGAGGUAUCAGAAGUGCGAAUGCUGACAUAAGUAACGAUAAUGCGGGUGAAAAGCCCGCUCGCCGGAAGACCAAGGGUUCCUGUCCAACGUUAAUCGGGGCAGGGUGAGUCGACCCCUAAGGCGAGGCCGAAAGGCGUAGUCGAUGGGAAACGGGUUAAUAUUCCCGUACUUGGUGUUACUGCGAAGGGGGGACGGAGAAGGCUAUGUUGGCCGGGCGACGGUUGUCCCGGUUUAAGCGUGUAGGCUGGUUUUCCAGGCAAAUCCGGAAAAUCAAG